Molecule: ribosomal RNA, 2787 nt
Filed under: termite gut metagenome
Description: bacterial LSU rRNA
Rfam family: Bacterial large subunit ribosomal RNA
Source: RNAcentral
AGCGUACACGGUGGAUGCCCUGGCAGUCAGAGGCGAUGAAGGACGUGCUAAUCUGCGAUAAGCGUCGGUAAGGUGAUAUGAACCGUUAUAACCGGCGAUUUCCGAAUGGGGAAACCCAGUGUGUUUCGACACACUAUCAUUAACUGAAUCCAUAGGUUAAUGAGGCGAACCGGGGGAACUGAAACAUCUAAGUACCCCGAGGAAAAGAAAUCAACCGAGAUUCCCCCAGUAGCGGCGAGCGAACGGGGAGCAGCCCAGAGCCUGAAUCAGUGUGUGUGUUAGUGGAAGCGUCUGGAAAGGCGCGCGAUACAGGGUGACAGCCCCGUACACAAAAAUGCACAUGCUGUGAGCUCGAUGAGUAGGGCGGGACACGUGGUAUCCUGUCUGAAUAUGGGGGGACCAUCCUCCAAGGCUAAAUACUCCUGACUGACCGAUAGUGAACCAGUACCGUGAGGGAAAGGCGAAAAGAACCCCGGCGAGGGGAGUGAAAAAGAACCUGAAACCGUGUACGUACAAGCAGUGGGAGCACGCUUAGGCGUGUGACUGCGUACCUUUUGUAUAAUGGGUCAGCGACUUAUAUUCUGUAGCAAGGUUAACCGAAUAGGGGAGCCGAAGGGAAACCGAGUCUUAACUGGGCGUUAAGUUGCAGGGUAUAGACCCGAAACCCGGUGAUCUAGCCAUGGGCAGGUUGAAGGUUGGGUAACACUAACUGGAGGACCGAACCGACUAAUGUUGAAAAAUUAGCGGAUGACUUGUGGCUGGGGGUGAAAGGCCAAUCAAACCGGGAGAUAGCUGGUUCUCCCCGAAAGCUAUUUAGGUAGCGCCUCGUGAAUUCAUCUCCGGGGGUAGAGCACUGUUUCGGCAAGGGGGUCAUCCCGACUUACCAACCCGAUGCAAACUGCGAAUACCGGAGAAUGUUAUCACGGGAGACACACGGCGGGUGCUAACGUCCGUCGUGAAGAGGGAAACAACCCAGACCGCCAGCUAAGGUCCCAAAGUCAUGGUUAAGUGGGAAACGAUGUGGGAAGGCCCAGACAGCCAGGAUGUUGGCUUAGAAGCAGCCAUCAUUUAAAGAAAGCGUAAUAGCUCACUGGUCGAGUCGGCCUGCGCGGAAGAUGUAACGGGGCUAAACCAUGCACCGAAGCUGCGGCAGCGACGCUUAUGCGUUGUUGGGUAGGGGAGCGUUCUGUAAGCCUGCGAAGGUGUGCUGUGAGGCAUGCUGGAGGUAUCAGAAGUGCGAAUGCUGACAUAAGUAACGAUAAAGCGGGUGAAAAGCCCGCUCGCCGGAAGACCAAGGGUUCCUGUCCAACGUUAAUCGGGGCAGGGUGAGUCGACCCCUAAGGCGAGGCCGAAAGGCGUAGUCGAUGGGAAACAGGUUAAUAUUCCUGUACUUGGUGUUACUGCGAAGGGGGGACGGAGAAGGCUAUGUUGGCCGGGCGACGGUUGUCCCGGUUUAAGCGUGUAGGCUGGUUUUCCAGGCAAAUCCGGAAAAUCAAGGCUGAGGCGUGAUGACGAGGCACUACGGUGCUGAAGCAACAAAUGCCCUGCUUCCAGGAAAAGCCUCUAAGCAUCAGGUAACAUCAAAUCGUACCCCAAACCGACACAGGUGGUCAGGUAGAGAAUACCAAGGCGCUUGAGAGAACUCGGGUGAAGGAACUAGGCAAAAUGGUGCCGUAACUUCGGGAGAAGGCACGCUGAUAUGUAGGUGAAGCGACUUGCUCGUGGAGCUGAAAUCAGUCGAAGAUACCAGCUGGCUGCAACUGUUUAUUAAAAACACAGCACUGUGCAAACACGAAAGUGGACGUAUACGGUGUGACGCCUGCCCGGUGCCGGAAGGUUAAUUGAUGGGGUUAGCGCAAGCGAAGCUCUUGAUCGAAGCCCCGGUAAACGGCGGCCGUAACAAUAACGGUCCUAAGGUAGCGAAAUUCCUUGUCGGGUAAGUUCCGACCUGCACGAAUGGCGUAAUGAUGGCCAGGCUGUCUCCACCCGAGACUCAGUGAAAUUGAACUCGCUGUGAAGAUGCAGUGUACCCGCGGCAAGACGGAAAGACCCCGUGAACCUUUACUAUAGCUUGACACUGAACAUUGAGCCUUGAUGUGUAGGAUAGGUGGGAGGCUUUGAAGUGUGGACGCCAGUCUGCAUGGAGCCGACCUUGAAAUACCACCCUUUAAUGUUUGAUGUUCUAACGUUGACCCGUAAUCCGGGUUGCGGACAGUGUCUGGUGGGUAGUUUGACUGGGGCGGUCUCCUCCUAAAGAGUAACGGAGGAGCACGAAGGUUGGCUAAUCCUGGUCGGACAUCAGGAGGUUAGUGCAAUGGCAUAAGCCAGCUUGACUGCGAGCGUGACGGCGCGAGCAGGUGCGAAAGCAGGUCAUAGUGAUCCGGUGGUUCUGAAUGGAAGGGCCAUCGCUCAACGGAUAAAAGGUACUCCGGGGAUAACAGGCUGAUACCGCCCAAGAGUUCAUAUCGACGGCGGUGUUUGGCACCUCGAUGUCGGCUCAUCACAUCCUGGGGCUGAAGUAGGUCCCAAGGGUAUGGCUGUUCGCCAUUUAAAGUGGUACGCGAGCUGGGUUUAGAACGUCGUGAGACAGUUCGGUCCCUAUCUGCCGUGGGCGCUGGAGAACUGAGGGGGGCUGCUCCUAGUACGAGAGGACCGGAGUGGACGCAUCACUGGUGUUCGGGUUGUCAUGCCAAUGGCACUGCCCGGUAGCUAAAUGCGGAAGAGAUAAGUGCUGAAAGCAUCUAAGCACGAAACUUGCCCCGAGAUGAGUUCUCCCUGACUCCUUGA